Molecule: long non-coding RNA, 3479 nt
Organism: Astyanax mexicanus (Mexican tetra)
Lineage: Eukaryota; Metazoa; Chordata; Actinopteri; Characiformes; Acestrorhamphidae
Exons: 7
Source: RefSeq, a predicted model, not a curated record
ACGAUUGGAUGGUUGUUAUGUUUACAGAGUUCCUAAAUUGGAGAACAGCGGCAGCAGCAGCAGCUUUUCACUGAGGAGAUCCAGCGAUUUUUCGACAGCAGACCCGUUUAUUCUUUAAUAUUUACUGUUUUAUUAACUGUAUUGUGUUUUAAUUAUUAUAUUAUUGUUAUAUUACUUGUAUUUUCUGUUAUUAAUCACACAUAUUUUGUUUUUCAGGUGUCGAAACCGGUGUGGGUAUACUGACACCCCGCGGUCAGACAUGGAGUUUUGGCGGAGUGAAGACUAUCUCCUGGAGGGGGCUUCCGGUGGGUCAGGAGACCAGUUCAUUAUCCUGCCUUUUUUGCGGCACUGAGGAGCUGAGGGACUCCUGUCUGCAGUGGCAGGGUGAGGGUCCAGACCCCUGGAUGGAGCUCAGGAGGGUUCAGCACGAGUUCCUCGAGGGGAAGUUGAGGGCCCUCAUCGAGAAGCUUUCCUCGCCCAGGCGGCAUGGUGGGAGACUCCUGGUGCCGGUAAGGGAGGCAGCCCCCGCCCACAGGCUUGACUCUACUACGCCUGAUGUUCCAGGUCCAGUUGCACAGGCUUUGUGUGACUCGGACCUCGGAAUGUCAAAGAGAAGAUGUUGGAGCCACCUCCUAAAACACAGAUCAGAUUUCAGUGUUAUUUAAAGCAGUACAUAUAAGAAGCUGUGAGAAAGGCAUGUGAAAGUAAUGAACAGUGUUUAUUUAAUAAGUGGUUCUUUAAGGGUUUUAAAAGCAUUGCACCUUGAAAUCCAUUUGGAUGCUUAAAUGGAUUUUGAGUAAUGUUUACAUAUUGUAUUUAAUAACAUCACAAUAACUUCACACACAUACAGUAUGCACUUACAGUUUUUAUAUACAUAGAUAUUUUUAUAUUUUUAUUAAUGCUUUAGUAAUGUCUUUCUGCUUCUGUGUGCCUGGUUAUAUAUUUGCUACUGUAACACUAAAUUAGUCCCCCUACUGUGGGACUAAUACCCCACUGACACCCAUGCAAACACCCUGACACCCUGCACUUACUUUACACUGCAUCUAUCAGACUUUCCCAUAUUAUAUAGCAUCCUGCCCCCUGCACUUCCCACUCAACUCAUUCCUUACCUGCACUUACUCACAGUUAUUCUGUCACCUACUGGACUAUUUCCUUACUUCCACACACACACACACUCUAGAUAUCUGCAUAUCUACAUCUGUGCAAUAUUUGUUCUGUGCAAUAUUUGUCUAUAGUGUAAAGUGUUAUUAUGUGUAUUGUUAUUGAGUAUACUGUGUACAUUGGUGGGGAUCUGCACCCAAUUUCUUCACUCACAUGUACACCUGUACUCUGUGACCUGACAAUAAAAUCUUGAAUCUUAGCUUGUUUCGUUUUUACAUUGACAGUGCCAAGAAGCUCCAGCUCCAGAACUCACCACCACCUCUCAUCCACAGCCAUCCAGCCAGGGAGACACUGCACCAUCACUUACCACUAACACACAGAGCAGAUCCCUCAAACGCCUUGCCACCAACUUAAAGACCUCCAUUGUGUGUCGUUCCAGGUCUUCUCGCCGCGUCCUGGUGCAGGUUCGAGAGGCGGAACCAACUCACAGGCUGGACCUUCAGGACACAAAGCCUGAAUUGGAGCCAGUGCCAGCUGCACAGGACGAGGACGACCUGGAGGUGGAGGAUGUGAUGAGCGAAGGGAGACAGCUCCGAAAAGAAAGAGAGGAUGGCUACAGCACCUGCUCAGCUGCUUCAGGUGGACAGCAAGAAAGAGCUGAAAAGGUGGUCUGUAGAGGAUCUGGCUGUAGAGCUCUUAAAUACAUACACACAUACAUACCGACAUACAUACCUACAUAUAUACAUACACACAUACAUUGCAAGUUUAGAAUUUUAUAGCGGUAUGGAGUUUGUGGGUAAUAUUCUGUGAUAUCCUAUGUCGUGAGCUUGGAGGGGGGUGAGUCUGGGAUGCCAGAUUUCACUGCUGGGUCUUCCUGAGGUGUUCAGCGUAACGCUUAUGAAGGGAGGUGCUCAGCGGAUGACCCCUGUGAAGAGCUUGCCUCGUAGUGAAGGAUCAGUGUAGGAGAAGUGAAGGGUGGGUGUUACAUGUUUAGGAUAAAUGCUGCUGAUUGGAUGGUAAAUGGCCACAGCAGCGUAGUUGAUAGGUGUAUGAGUUUAUGGUUCUCAUGUAGUGUAAUAUAAGUGAGUAAGAGUAGAGUAUAGGGGAAGUGAAUGGGCGGGGCUGUAGAUUUAAACACAGUUGCAUUACUUACAUAGAUAUAGAGAUAGGAGAAGGAUUCACAUAGAGAAACACAAACACACAUACAUACACAAACACACACACAUACACAAACACACUAAUACACUAAUACACUCACACACACACACAAUUUCAAACAAACACACAUAUAUACACACAUGCACAUGCGUACACACACAUACAUUUACAAAGACACAUUAAUACACACACAGUUUCAAACACAUACAUACACAAACACACACAAUUUCAAAUACACAUACACAACUGUCUUUAUGUGCAUGUGUGUAUGUAUGUCAGUAUGUGUGUAUGUGUUUUUGUAUAUGUAUGUGUGUGUAUGCGUGUGUGUGUAUGUGUGUUUGUGUAUGUAUGUGUGUUUAUUUAUGUGUGUGCAUGUGUUUGUAUGUGUGUGUGUGUGUGUGUGUGUGUGUGUAUGUUCAUGUGUAUGUAUGAAUGCAUAUAUGUAUGUGCGUGUGUUUGUGUGUCUGUUUGUGUGUAUGUGUGUGCGUGUGUUAGGGCUGCAACCAAUGAUUAUUUUGGUAGUUGACUAAUCUGAUGAAAAUUUUGUUGAUUAGUCGAAUAGUCAGCGAUUAUUUCUGCCAUGUCCUCCAUCUCUAAAAACAACAGAAAAACAGCUAAACAUGAGAUUUAAAGGGCAUUUAAAUGUCCAGAUGUUUAAAUGUGGAAAGUACUGAUAUUUAGAGAGUAAAUUUUUAAUAUGUUGUGUUCAGGCACUUUUGGAGACACAGACUAAGUUGAGUGUAAACUGUAAAUGACACAUUUACCCAUAUCCCAUUGUGCUUUUGUCUCCAGCACUGUGUAAUGCAGUACUGUUACAAAUUAACGAUAAGUGGACAAUUAAAUUUGUAGUUGACAAAUUUAAAUAAUAAUCGUUGCAGCCCUAGCGUGUGUAUGAAUGUGUGUAUGUCUGUGUGUAUGAAUGUGUGUUCUCCAUGGAUCGCCACCUUGCCGCUGGUGGAGAAUCUUGUGUGUUCCAGUGAACCUGAGAGCGAUGCCGUCUGGAACUUAGGUUCCUGGUAGGGUCACCCAUGGCGGUAAACUCGAGGGGGAGGUUCCAGACAAAGUGUGAUCUGAAGACCUCAGUGGUAGGCAGAGGAUGAUGGGUGCGUCACAAGGGCUGGAAAGGCGGAUGAAGGCUUCAACAGAAAUGGGUCUCCAGUCGUCUUGGUCUCCAUGCCACUGGGCCCUGACCCAAAUAUAUUGAUGUGUUUGUGUUUGUA